CACGUAGGGUGCGAGCGUUGUCCGGAUUUAUUGGGCGUAAAGAGCUCGUAGGCGGUGCGUCGCGUCGGCCGUGAAAACUUGGGGCUUAACUCUGAGCUUGCGGUCGAUACGGGCAUCACUUGAGUUCGGCAGGGGAGACUGGAAUUCCUGGUGUAGCGGUGAAAUGCGCAGAUAUCAGGAGGAACACCGGUUGCGAAGGCGGGUCUCUGGGCCGAUACUGACGCUGAGGAGCGAAAGCGUGGGGAGCGAACAGG
This 254-nucleotide ribosomal RNA is filed under the name uncultured bacterium. RNAcentral describes it as "partial 16S ribosomal RNA". It matches the Rfam family "Bacterial small subunit ribosomal RNA", at positions 524 to 776 of the family's 1533-position model. The record is from RNAcentral.